This 464-nucleotide ribosomal RNA is filed under the name uncultured bacterium. RNAcentral's name for it is "bacterial SSU rRNA". It matches the Rfam family "Bacterial small subunit ribosomal RNA", at positions 338 to 795 of the family's 1533-position model. The record is from RNAcentral.
CCUACGGGUGGCAGCAGUGGGGAAUCUUGCGCAAUGGGCGAAAGCCUGACGCAGCGACGCCGCGUGAGUGAUGAAGGCCUUCGGGUUGUAAAGCUCUGUGGGGAGAGAAGAAUAAGUGCAGGCUAAUACCCUGAACGAUGACGGUAUCUCCUUAGCAAGCACCGGCUAACUCUGUGCCAGCAGCCGCGGUAAGACAGAGGGUGCAAACGUUGUUCGGAAUUACUGGGCGUAAAGCGUGUGUAGGCGGUUUGGAAAGUCGGACGUGAAAGCCCCGGGCUCAACCUGGGAAGUGCGCUCGAUACUUCCAAACUAGAGUGUCGGAGAGGUUGGUGGAAUUCUCGGUGUAGAGGUGAAAUUCGUAGAUAUCGAGAGGAACAUCGGUGGCGAAGGCGGCCAACUGGACGAACACUGACGCUGAGACACGAAAGCGUGGGGAGCAAACAGGAUUAGAUACCCUGGUAGUC